RNAcentral lists this ribosomal RNA (303 nucleotides) under uncultured bacterium. RNAcentral's name for it is "partial 16S ribosomal RNA". It matches the Rfam family "Bacterial small subunit ribosomal RNA", at positions 507 to 807 of the family's 1533-position model. The record is from RNAcentral.
AGCAGUAGCCGCGGUAAUACGGAGGGUGCAAGCGUUAAUCGGAAUUACUGGGCGUAAAGCGCACGCAGGCGGUCUGACAAGUCAGAUGUGAAAUCCCCGGGCUUAACCUGGGAACUGCAUUUGAAACUGUCAGGCUGGAGUCUUGUAGAGGGGGGUAGAAUUCCAGGUGUAGCGGUGAAAUGCGUAGAGAUCUGGAGGAAUACCGGUGGCGAAGGCGGCCCCCUGGACAAAGACUGACGCUCAGGUGCGAAAGCGUGGGGAGCAAACAGGAUUAGAGACCCCUGUAGUCCCUGUCUCUUAUAC